This 388-nucleotide ribosomal RNA is filed under the name uncultured eukaryote. RNAcentral's name for it is "SSU rRNA". It matches the Rfam family "Eukaryotic small subunit ribosomal RNA", at positions 567 to 953 of the family's 1831-position model. The record is from RNAcentral.
CCAGCAGCCGCGGUAAUUCCAGCUCCAAUAGUGUAUAUUAAUUCUGUUGUGGUUAAAAAGCUCGUAGUCGGAUUUCGGAGCGUGGAGAUCAAGGUCCGUCCAAGUGGCGUGGCCCGAUCACCGCCUCCUCUUUCCAGGUGACGGCCCCUCGCGCUUCACGGCGUGGGGUGUGCGGUUCCUGGUCGUUUAUUAUGACAAACUCAGAGUGUUCAAAGCAGGCGUAAAUGCCUUGAAUGCUACAGCAUGAGAUAAUGGAAGAUGACAAUGGUCUUAUUUUGUUGGUUUCUAAGGCUGCUGUAAUGAUUAAUAGGGCCAGUUGGGGUCGCUCGUAUUGUACUGUCAGAGGUGAAAUUCUAGGAUUUGUACAAGACGAACUACUGCGAAAGCA